CCCUUAGAUGUUCUGGGCCGCACGCGCGCUACACUGUUCGACGCAGCGAGUCUUAACCUUGACCGAAAGGUUUGGGUAAUCUUUUGAAAGUCCGACGUGAUGGGGAUUGAUCAUUGCAAUUAUUGAUCAUGAACGAGGAAUUCCUAGUAAGCGCGAGUCAUCAGCUCGCGUUGAUUACGUCCCUGCCCUUUGUACACACCGCCCGUCGCUACUACCGAUUGAAUGGUUUAGUGAGAUCUUCGGAUUGGCGCCUACGCGGCUUCUCUGAGGCCACGCUGGAUGCCGAAAAGUUGCUCAAACUGUAUCAUUUAGAGGAAGUAAAAGUCGUAACA
Molecule: ribosomal RNA, 332 nt
Filed under: uncultured eukaryote
Lineage: Eukaryota
Description: partial 18S ribosomal RNA
Rfam family: Eukaryotic small subunit ribosomal RNA
Source: RNAcentral